RNAcentral lists this ribosomal RNA (362 nucleotides) under uncultured bacterium. RNAcentral describes it as "partial 16S ribosomal RNA". It matches the Rfam family "Bacterial small subunit ribosomal RNA", at positions 523 to 883 of the family's 1533-position model. The record is from RNAcentral.
AUACGUAGGUGACAAGCGUUAUCCGGAUUUACUGGGCGUAAAGGGCGUGUAGGCGGUCUUGCAAGUCAGAAGUGAAAUUCCUGAGCUCAACUCGGGCGCUGCUUCUGAAACUGCAGGACUUGAGUGCUGGAGGGGAUAGCGGAAUUCCUAGUGGAGCGGUAAAAUGCGCAGAUAUUAGGAAGAACACCGGUGGCGAAGGCGGCUAUCUGGACAGUAACUGACGCUGAGGCGCGAAAGCGUGGGGAGCAAACAGGAUUAGAUACCCUGGUAGUCCACGCCGUAACCGAUGAAUACUAGGUGUAGGGGGUAUCGACUCCCUCUGUGCCGCAGUUAACACAAUAAGUAUUCCGCCUGGGGAGUAC